This 493-nucleotide ribosomal RNA is filed under the name uncultured bacterium. RNAcentral's name for it is "bacterial SSU rRNA". It matches the Rfam family "Bacterial small subunit ribosomal RNA", at positions 355 to 866 of the family's 1533-position model. The record is from RNAcentral.
UGGGGAAUCUUGGACAAUGGGGGCAACCCUGAUCCAGCCAUGCCGCGUGAGUGAUGAAGGCCUUAGGGUCGUAAAGCUCUUUCGCCUGUGAAGAUAAUGACGGUAGCAGGUAAAGAAACCCCGGCUAACUUCGUGCCAGCAGCCGCGGUAAUACGAAGGGGGCUAGCGUUGUUCGGAUUUACUGGGCGUAAAGAGUUCGUAGGCGGACUAGCAAGUUAGAGGUGAAAUCCCAGGGCUCAACCUUGGAACUGCCUUUAAAACUGCUAGUCUAGAGACCGGAAGAGGUUAGGGGAAUACCUAGUGUAGAGGUGAAAUUCGUAGAUAUUAGGUGGAACACCAGUGGCGAAGGCGGCUCACUGGCUCGAUACUGACGCUGAGGUGCGAAAGUGUGGGGAGCAAACAGGAUUAGAUACCCUGGUAGUCCACACCGUAAACGAUGAAUGCCAGUCGUCGGGUAGCAUGCUAUUCGGUGACACACCUAACGGAUUAAGCA